GAAAUCAGAGGCAUCACCAGCCAUCAAACACCAAUAAACACCAACAAAUAUGACAUGCAAAGGCAUCACCAGCCAUCACCAACCCAUAAGCAACUAAGGAACAGAAUCACCUGAUUAGAUUAGGUCUAAGGCAGCCGGGCAGUAGCGAGAUAGCAAUCGAAGGUACCAAAUCCUUCUCUCGUUGCUCCAGCCCCUCCAAUUAUCAAAAGGUUCCGGCACCACCGUUUCAGGCUCCAGAUCUCCCUCCGUUUCAGGCACCACCGUAUCCAAUGGCCGGCCUUCUUCAUCCAGGACGAAGCCAUCCACGGCCAGAUCUCCCUCCGUUUCAGGCACCACCGUAUCGAAUGGCCGGCCUUCUUCAUCCAGGACGAAGCCAUCCACGGCCAGAUCUCCCUCCGUUUCAGGCACCACCGUAUCGAAUGGCCGGCCUUCUUCAUCCUGGACGAAGCCAUCCACGGCCAGAUCUAGCUCUGAUUCUCCAUCCACGGCCACCAGAUCUUGGGGGGUUUCCGGCACGACAGUGUCCGGCUCCAAAGCCCAAGCCGGAAAGGACAUAAUUUCAGUGUGGGUCGCCGUCACCACAUCUGAAAACGUGGGUUCGGACAUCGUCAGCGGCGCCGUAUCACCGAAAAAACGAGGCACCAUCAUCGAAUCCAGUGAAUAAUCGGUGAAAUCAUCGGAUUUACAGAUAUUGAUCGGAGAUGGCAACGGAUCUGGUGAUUCUUCGGUAGAAUCACCAAA
This 741-nucleotide long non-coding RNA is filed under the name Salvia miltiorrhiza (redroot sage). RNAcentral's name for it is "long non-coding RNA (SMIL_LNC008303)". The record is from RNAcentral. Lineage: Eukaryota; Viridiplantae; Streptophyta; Magnoliopsida; Lamiales; Lamiaceae.